Molecule: ribosomal RNA, 529 nt
Filed under: Clostridioides difficile
Lineage: Bacteria; Bacillati; Bacillota; Clostridia; Peptostreptococcales; Peptostreptococcaceae
Description: bacterial LSU rRNA
Rfam family: Bacterial large subunit ribosomal RNA
Source: RNAcentral
GAUCCACAGAAGGUAAUAGUCCUGUAUGUUAAACGAGAAGACUUUAGAUAUGAUCCAGAGUACCACGGGACACGUGAAACCCUGUGGGAAGCAGGAGGGACCACCCUCCAAGGCUAAAUACUACCUAGUGACCGAUAGCGUAUAGUACCGUGAGGGAAAGGUGAAAAGAACCCCGGGAGGGGAGUGAAAUAGAACCUGAAACCCUGCACUUACAAGCUGUGGAAGCACAUUUCUUGUGUGACCGCGUACUUUUUGUAGAACGGGCCAACGAGUUACGUUAAGUAGCAAGGUUAAGCACUUAAGGUGCGGAGCCGUAGCGAAAGCGAGUUUUAACUGAGCGUUCAGUUACUUGACGUAGACCCGAAACCGGGCGACCUACCCAUGAGCAGGAUGAAGCGAAAGUAAAAUUUCGUGGAGGUCCGAACCCACGAGCGUUGAAAAGCUCGGGGAUGACUUGUGGGUAGCGGUGAAAUUCCAAUCGAGCCCGGAGAUAGCUGGUUCUCCCCGAAAUAGCUUUAGGGCUAGCCUC